This 485-nucleotide ribosomal RNA is filed under the name uncultured bacterium. RNAcentral describes it as "partial 16S ribosomal RNA". It matches the Rfam family "Bacterial small subunit ribosomal RNA", at positions 30 to 507 of the family's 1533-position model. The record is from RNAcentral.
UUGAACGCUGGCGGCAUGCCUUACACAUGCAAGUCGAACGGCAGCACGGGUGCUUGCACCUGGUGGCGCGUGGCGAACGGGUGAGUAAUACAUCGGAACAUGUCCUGUAGUGGGGGAUAGCCCGGCGAAAGCCGGAUUAAUACCGCAUACGAUCUACGGAUGAAAGCGGGGGACCUUCGGGCCUCGCGCUAUAGGGUUGGCCGAUGGCUGAUUAGCUAGUUGGUGGGGUAAAGGCCUACCAAGGCGACGAUCAGUAGCUGGUCUGAGAGGACGACCAGCCACACUGGGACUGAGACACGGCCCAGACUCCUACGGGAGGCAGCAGUGGGGAAUGUUGGACAAUGGGCGAAAGCCUGAUCCAGCAAUGCCGCGUGUGUGAAGAAGGCCUUCGGGUUGUAAAGCACUUUUGUCCGGAAAGAAAUCCUUGGCCCUAAUACGGUCGGGGGAUGACGGUACCGGAAGAAUAAGCACCGGCUAACUACGUG